Molecule: ribosomal RNA, 717 nt
Filed under: Cortinarius sp. 2A10
Lineage: Eukaryota; Fungi; Basidiomycota; Agaricomycetes; Agaricales; Cortinariaceae
Description: eukaryotic LSU rRNA
Rfam family: Eukaryotic large subunit ribosomal RNA (bases 101-717)
Source: RNAcentral
UUGCUGACCGUUUAUUGGUGUGAUAACUAUCUACGCUAUUGACAGUGAAGCAGGUUCAGCUUUAUAGCAGUCCAUUGACUUGGACAAACCUUUAUUAAUGUGACCUCAAAUCAGGUAGGACUACCCGCUGAACUUAAGCAUAUCAAUAAGCGGAGGAAAAGAAACUAACAAGGAUUCCCCUAGUAACUGCGAGUGAAGCGGGAAAAGCUCAAAUUUAAAAUCUGUCAGUCUUUGGCUGUCCGAGUUGUAAUCUAGAGAAGCGUUGUCUGCGCUGGACCGUGUACAAGUCUCCUGGAAUGGAGCAUCAUAGAGGGUGAGAAUCCCGUCUUUGACACGGACUGCCAGGGCUUUGUGAUGCGCUCUCGAAGAGUCGAGUUGUUUGGGAAUGCAGCUCAAAAUGGGUGGUAAAUUCCAUCUAAAGCUAAAUAUUGGCGAGAGACCGAUAGCGAACAAGUACCGUGAGGGAAAGAUGAAAAGAACUUUGGAAAGAGAGUUAAACAGUACGUGAAAUUGCUGAAAGGGAAACGCUUGAAGUCAGUCACGUUGUCCAGGGAUCAACCUUGCUUUUGCUUGGUGUACUUUCUGGUUGACGGGUCAGCAUCAAUUUUGACUACUGGAAAAAGAUUGAGGGAAUGUGGCAUCUUUGGAUGUGUUAUAGCCCUUGGUUGCAUACAGUGGUUGAGAUUGAGGAACUCAGCAUGCCGCAAGGCCGGGUUU